RNAcentral lists this ribosomal RNA (274 nucleotides) under uncultured bacterium. RNAcentral's name for it is "partial 16S ribosomal RNA". It matches the Rfam family "Bacterial small subunit ribosomal RNA", at positions 523 to 796 of the family's 1533-position model. The record is from RNAcentral.
AUACGAAGGGGGCUAGCGUUGUUCGGAAUUACUGGGCGUAAAGCGCGCGUAGGCGGAUUGGUCAGUUAGGGGUGAAAUCCCAGGGCUUAACCCUGGAACUGCCUCUAAUACUGCCAGUCUUGAGUUCGGGAGAGGUGAGUGGAAUUCCUAGUGUAGAGGUAAAAUUCGUAGAUAUUAGGAAGAACACCAGUGGCGAAGGCGGCUCACUGGCCCGAUACUGACGCUGAGGCGCGAAAGCGUGGGGAGCAAACAGGAUUAGAAACCCUAGUAGUCC